AUUGAACGCUGGCGGCAGGCCUAACACAUGCAAGUCGAGCGGAUGAAGGGAGCUUGCUCCUGGAUUCAGCGGCGGACGGGUGAGUAAUGCCUAGGAAUCUGCCUGGUAGUGGGGGAUAACGUCCGGAAACGGGCGCUAAUACCGCAUACGUCCUGAGGGAGAAAGUGGGGGAUCUUCGGACCUCACGCUAUCAGAUGAGCCUAGGUCGGAUUAGCUAGUUGGUGGGGUAAAGGCCUACCAAGGCGACGAUCCGUAACUGGUCUGAGAGGAUGAUCAGUCACACUGGAACUGAGACACGGUCCAGACUCCUACGGGAGGCAGCAGUGGGGAAUAUUGGACAAAGGGCGAAAGCCUGAUCCAGCCAUGCCGCGUGUGCGAAGAAGGUCUUCGGAUUGUAAAGCACUUUAAGUUGGGAGGAAGGGCAGUAAGUUAAUACCUUGCUGUUUUGACGUUACCAACAGAAUAAGCACCGGCUAACUUCGUG
This 484-nucleotide ribosomal RNA is filed under the name uncultured bacterium. RNAcentral's name for it is "partial 16S ribosomal RNA". It matches the Rfam family "Bacterial small subunit ribosomal RNA", at positions 30 to 507 of the family's 1533-position model. The record is from RNAcentral.